ACAUAUUUCCCCCUCCUAAGCCUUCUUAUUACAUAUUUCCCCAAACUAUAAAAUCAAUUACAUAUUUCCCUUUUUUUCAAGAAAUUACCCAAUUACCCUCAUAAUAACCCAUAUGUGUAAUAAGCAUCUGCGUGUAACCCAAACCCUACACAAUCAACAUCAACGUUUUCUAUUCCCAGCAAAACAUCGACGUUUCAUCUUCUUCUUCAUCAGGUAGACAUAGCAGCAGCAAUCACAGCGGCCACAGUGAUGAUUAUGAACACCGUGAAAAGACAUGCAAAAACUCAGCGCACCUGAAGAUCCUACUCAACGUCAAGCGUCGACAAGUAAAAGGGGAAGAGGAAAGAUUACAAAAAAUAUGUGAAAGUAGAAGAAUUGUGGUUUGAACGGAAUUUAUGUUUUUAUUAUGAACGGAAUUUAUGUUUUUUGAACGGAAUCUAUCAUGAAUGGAAUUUAUGUUUUUAUUAUGAGUA
Long non-coding RNA from Helianthus annuus (common sunflower), 473 nucleotides. RefSeq lists it as uncharacterized. The transcript has 2 exons. NCBI's taxonomy places the organism in Eukaryota, Viridiplantae, Streptophyta, Magnoliopsida, Asterales, Asteraceae. The record is from RefSeq and is a predicted model, not a curated record.